This 365-nucleotide unclassified non-coding RNA is filed under the name uncultured Chloroflexaceae bacterium. RNAcentral's name for it is "contains 16S-23S intergenic spacer region". The record is from RNAcentral. Lineage: Bacteria; Bacillati; Chloroflexota; Chloroflexia; Chloroflexales; Chloroflexaceae.
UCCGGCCGAAAGCCGGCAGUCUCGGCAGACACAUAUAACUGCCGAUGAGGGUUGCGCUCGUUGCGGGACUUAACCCAACAUCUCACGACACGAGCUGACGACAACCAUGCAGCACCUGUGCCACACCCUCGAAGGCGACCCCCUUUCAGGGGCGUGCAGUGGCAUGUCAAGCCUGGGUAAGGUGCUUCGCGUUGCGUCGAAUUAAACCACACGCUCCGCUGCUUGUGCGGGCCCCCGUCAAUUCCUUUGAGUUUUAAGCUUGCGCUCGUACUUCCCAGGCGGCCGGCUUACCGCGUGAGCUAAGCCCCGCACCCGCCUUAACGGCGGACACAGAACGAGCCGGCAUCGUUUACGGCGUGGACUAC